UGGGGAAUUUUGCACAAUGGGGGAAACCCUGAUGCAGCGACGCCGCGUGAUUUAGAAGGCCUUCGGGUUGUAAAAAUCUUUUCUAUGGGAAGAAAAUGACAGUACCAUAGGAAUAAGGACCGGCUAAUUACGUGCCAGCAGCCGCGGUAAUACGUAAGGUCCGAGCGUUGUCCGGAAUCAUUGGGCGUAAAGGGUACGUAGGCGGGUAAGCAAGUUAGAAGUGAAAUCAUAUAGCUCAACUAUAGUAAGCUUUUAAAACUGCUCAUCUUGAGGUAUGGAAGGGAAAGUGGAAUUCCUAGUGUAGCGGUGAAAUGCGCAGAUAUUAGGAGGAAUACCGGUGGCGAAGGCGACUUUCUGGCCAUAACCUGACGCUGAGGUGCGAAAGCGUGGGUAGCAAACAGG
This 402-nucleotide ribosomal RNA is filed under the name bacterium. Its description in RNAcentral is "partial 16S ribosomal RNA". It matches the Rfam family "Bacterial small subunit ribosomal RNA", at positions 355 to 776 of the family's 1533-position model. The record is from RNAcentral.